GAUGAACGCUGGCGGCGUGCCUAAUACAUGCAAGUCGAGCGAACGGACGAGAAGCUUGCUUCUCUGAUGUUAGCGGCGGACGGGUGAGUAACACGUGGAUAACCUACCUAUAAGACUGGGAUAACUUCGGGAAACCGGAGCUACUACCGGAUGAUAUUUUGAACCGCAUGGUUCAAAAGUGCAAGAGGGUUUUCCUGUCACUUAUAGAUGGAUCCGCGUUGCAUUAGCUAGUUGGUAAGGUAACGGCUUACCAAGGCAACGAUGCAUAGCCGACCUGAGAGGGUGAUCGGCCACACUGGAACUGAGACACGGUCCAGACUCCUACGGGAGGCAGCAGUAGGGAAUCUUCCGCAAUGGGCGAAAGCCUGACGGAGCAACGCCGCGUGAGUGAUGAAGGUCUUCGGAUCGUAAAACUCUGUUAUUAGGGAAGAACAUAUGUGUAAGUAACUGUGCACAUCUUGACGGUACCUAAUCAGAAAGCCACGGCUAACUACGUG
RNAcentral lists this ribosomal RNA (497 nucleotides) under uncultured bacterium. RNAcentral describes it as "partial 16S ribosomal RNA". It matches the Rfam family "Bacterial small subunit ribosomal RNA", at positions 28 to 507 of the family's 1533-position model. The record is from RNAcentral.